CCUACGGGAGGCAGCAGUGAGGAAUAUUGGUCAAUGGGCUUACGCCUGAACCAGCCAAGUCGCGUGAGGGAAGACUGCCCUAUGGGUUGUAAACCUCUUUUGUCAGGGAGCAAUUGGCGCUACGUGUAGCGUUAUCGAGAGUACCUGAAGAAAAAGCAUCGGCUAACUCCGUGCCAGCAGCCGCGGUAAUACGGAGGAUGCGAGCGUUAUCCGGAUUUAUUGGGUUUAAAGGGUGCGUAGGCGGAAUGCCAAGUCAGCGGUAAAAUCGCGGGGCUCAACCUCGCUCCGCCGUUGAAACUGGCGGUCUUGAGUGGGAGAGAAGUAUGCGGAAUGCGUGGUGUAGCGGUGAAAUGCAUAGAUAUCACGCAGAACUCCGAUUGCGAAGGCAGCAUACCGGCGCCCAACUGACGCUGAAGCACGAAAGCGUGGGUAUCGAACAGGAUUAGAUACCCCUGUAGUC
This 460-nucleotide ribosomal RNA is filed under the name uncultured bacterium. Its description in RNAcentral is "partial 16S ribosomal RNA". It matches the Rfam family "Bacterial small subunit ribosomal RNA", at positions 338 to 795 of the family's 1533-position model. The record is from RNAcentral.